This 445-nucleotide long non-coding RNA is filed under the name Mytilus galloprovincialis (Mediterranean mussel). Lineage: Eukaryota; Metazoa; Mollusca; Bivalvia; Mytilida; Mytilidae. The record is from RNAcentral.
GGUUUGCAUUAAGGUUUUUUGUUGUCAACCAUGUGUCAGUCAUUUGAAUAAACAUAUUCAACACAAACACCAACAUAAAUAUAACAUGUUAGUUGGUUUAUAUGGUGGAAAUGGUCUGGUAUGAUAGCAAACAUAUAAAAAAAUUGACCUACAUGAACAGUUUACACCCCUAAUAUGACCCAAUUUGAAUUAUCCGCCAUUGAUUUAAAAUAUGUUUACCCAGAGAUAUUUUUCUUUAAUGAUUAGCUAAAUACCUAAUCUUUAAGUGUAGUGAGUCAUGUGUUGGCUAUAUUUCUGCAAAAAAAAACAUUUUAGGGACCAAAUUUGGUCGAAUUUGACUCUUUUUGCUUAAGAUCCACAGUACCUAAAAUAGCUAUUAGCUCUGACAUUCUAUACUGUAUUUCACCGUAUAUGAUUUACUUUAAUAAAUAUAUCUUUAUAAGGC